AUCCCUUGAUGAGGACAGGCGGCGACGUACUCCUACACACACUCCCAAACUUCUGGUAUGGAUUCAUCCUUCGUCUACUGGAAGCUAGAAAUCCUCUAGCGAAGGGC
This 107-nucleotide small nucleolar RNA is filed under the name Leersia perrieri. RNAcentral's name for it is "snoRNA snoR71". It matches the Rfam family "Plant small nucleolar RNA R71". Rfam says of the family: R71 is a member of the C/D box family of snoRNAs containing the C (UGAUGA) and D (CUGA) box motifs. Lineage: Eukaryota; Viridiplantae; Streptophyta; Magnoliopsida; Poales; Poaceae. The record is from Rfam by way of RNAcentral.